This 1693-nucleotide ribosomal RNA is filed under the name Bacteroidetes bacterium ADurb.BinA012. Its description in RNAcentral is "bacterial LSU rRNA". It matches the Rfam family "Bacterial large subunit ribosomal RNA", at positions 809 to 2502 of the family's 2925-position model. Lineage: Bacteria; Pseudomonadati; Bacteroidota. The record is from RNAcentral.
CUGUGAUAAGGGGUGAAAGGCUAAACAAACCUGGAAAUAGCUGGCACUCCCCGAAAUGCCUUGAGGGACAGCCUCAUACGCCUAUCAUGGAGGUAGAGCACUGUUUGGACUAGGGGUCUUCACCGGCUACCAAACCCAGGCAAACUGCGAAUGCCGUGACAGAAGGUAUGGGAGUGAGACGGCGGGCGAUAAAGUUCGUCGUCGAGAGGGGAACAGCCCGGACCGACAGCUAAGGUCCCUAAAUGCCGCUGAGUGUGAAAUGAGGUGCUAUUGCGAAGACAGCCAGGAGGUUGGCUUAGAAGCAGCAAUUCCUUAAAAGAGUGCGUAACAGCUCACUGGUCGAGCAAUGGUGCGCAGACAAUGUAACGGGGCUAAGCGGUAUACCGAAGCUUUGGAUUCAUACUUUUAGGGUAUGGAUGGUAGGGGAGCAUUCCAUGGACCGGAGAAGGUACACUGAGAGGUGUGCUGGAGGGGAUGGAAGAGAGAAUGCAGGUAUAAGUACACGAAAAGACGGGUGAGAUUCCCGUCCGCCGAAAACCUAAGGUUUCCUGGGUAAAGGUCAUCUGCCCAGGGUUAGUCGGUCUCUAAGAUGAGGCGGAAGCGCGUAGUCGAUGAGAAUCCGGUUCAUAUUCCGGAACCAUAUAUAAGUUCGAAGGGAUGACGCAUGAGGUGGAGCACUGCCGGCUGACGGAAUAGCCGGUUGACCUAGCGAGCUUAAGAGGUAGCGAGGCAAAUCCAGCUACUGAGGUGAGCUAGGGAGGGAGGGAAGCUACGGUGGAACGAAGUGUGCCGAAUCAAGGUGCCAAGAAAGAGUCUCUAAGGCUAACUUAUAUAUGACCGUACCGUAAACGGACACACGUAGGUAGGAUGAGAAAUCUAAGGCGCUCGAGAGAACUCGCGUUAAGGAACUCGGCAAAAUGCACACGUAACUUAGGGAGAAGUGUGGCCUAUUGAGAGAUAGGUUGCAGAAAAUAGGCCCAGGCGACUGUUUACCAAAAACACAGGACUCUGCGAACGCGCAAGCGGAAGUAUAGGGUCUGACGCCUGCCCGGUGCUGGAAGGUUAAGAGGAGGGGUUAGCAGGUAACUGCGAAGCUCUGAAUUGAAGCCCCAGUAAACGGCGGCCGUAACUAUAACGGUCCUAAGGUAGCGAAAUUCCUUGUCGGGUAAGUUCCGACCCGCACGAAUGGUGGAACGAUCUGGGCACUGUCUCGACGCGAGACUCGGUGAAAUUUAAGUACCGGUAAAGAUGCCGGUUACCCGUGGUUAGACGGAAAGACCCCAUGAACCUUUACUGUAGCUUAUCAUUGGGACUUGGCUUUACAUGUGUAGGAUAGGUGGGAGACUGGGAAGCAUGGCCGCUAGGCUGUGUGGAGUCGACGGUGAAAUACCACCCUUGUAAGGCUAGGUUUCUAACUUAGUUUGUAAAGCCAGGCUAGGGACAGUGGUAGGUGGGCAGUUUGACUGGGGCGGUCGCCUCCUAAAAGGUAACGGAGGUGCGCGAAGGUUGCCUUGCGCUGGGUGGAAAUCAGCGCUUAAAGUGUAAAGGCAUAAGGCAGCUUGACUGCGAGUCCGACAGGACGAGCAGGUACGAAAGUAGGUCUUAGUGAUCUGGCGGUAGCGAGUGGAAGCGCCGUCACUUAACGGAUAAAAGGUACUCUGGGGAUAACAGGCUGAUCUUGCCCAAGAGUUCA